GCUCAGAACUUAAAGGAUUGACGGGGCCCGCACAAGCGGUGGAGCACGUGGUUUAAUUCGAUGCAAACCGAAGAACCUUACCUGGGUUUGACAUACAGGUGGUAGAGCGAAGAGAUUCAAUCGACUCUGCAGUAAUGCAGAGAGCCUGCACAGGUGCUGCAUGGCUGUCGUCAGCUCGUGUCGUGAGAUGUUGGGUUAAGUCCCGUAACGAGCGCAACCCUUGUCCUUAGUUACCAGCACGUUAUGGUGGGCACUCUAAGGAGACUGCCGGUGACAAACCGGAGGAAGGUGGGGAUGACGUCAAGUCAGCAUGGCCCUUACGUCCGGGGCUACACACGUGCUACAAUGGCCGGUACAAAGGGUUGCGAAGCCGUGAGGUGGAGCGAAUCCCUUAAAGCUGGUCUCAGUUCGGAUCGGGGUCUGCAACUCGACCCCGUGAAGUCGGAGUCGCUAGUAAUCGCAGAUCAGCAACGCUGCGGUGAAUACGUUCCCGGGCCUU
RNAcentral lists this ribosomal RNA (499 nucleotides) under uncultured Pseudomonas sp. RNAcentral's name for it is "bacterial SSU rRNA". It matches the Rfam family "Bacterial small subunit ribosomal RNA", at positions 892 to 1382 of the family's 1533-position model. The record is from RNAcentral. Lineage: Bacteria; Pseudomonadati; Pseudomonadota; Gammaproteobacteria; Pseudomonadales; Pseudomonadaceae.